UGCCUACGGGGCGCAGCAGUGGGGAAUAUUGCACAAUGGGGGAAACCCUGAUGCAGCGACGCCGCGUGAGCGAGGAAGUAUUUCGGAAUGUAAAGCUCUAUCAGCAGGGACGAAAAAAGACGGUACCUGACUAAGAAGCCCCGGCUAACUACGUGCCAGCAGCCGCGGUAAUACGCAGGGGGCAAGCGUUAUCCGGAUUUACUGGGUGUAAAGGGAGCGUAGGCGGCGAUGCAAGUCAGAAGUGAAAGCCCGGGGCUCAACUCCGGGACUGCUUUUGAAACUGUAUGGCUAGAUUGCAGGAGAGG
This 305-nucleotide ribosomal RNA is filed under the name uncultured bacterium. RNAcentral describes it as "bacterial SSU rRNA". It matches the Rfam family "Bacterial small subunit ribosomal RNA", at positions 335 to 657 of the family's 1533-position model. The record is from RNAcentral.